Small nucleolar RNA from Solanum pennellii, 100 nucleotides. Lineage: Eukaryota; Viridiplantae; Streptophyta; Magnoliopsida; Solanales; Solanaceae. The record is from RefSeq and is a predicted model, not a curated record.
GGCGAUUGCUAUGACGCUGACAUUAAUCCCAGCUCUAUGAGGCCUUAAAUUAAGGUCUUGGAUUAAACUUUGUUUCCAACACAUAUAUCUGAGCUUCGCC